UUUGGCUUCCGAGUACACCGGCGAACGGGUGAGUAACGCGUAGACAACCUGCCCAUACCUCCGGGAUAACCACUCUAACGGGUGGCUAAGAACGGAUGGCGCAUUGAGUGGGCAUCCACUCGAUGUGAAAGCUGCGGAAGCAGCGGGUAUGGAGGGGUCUGCGUCCCAUUAGGUAGUUGGUGAGGUAACGGCUCACCAAGCCGAUGAUGGGUAGCUGGCCUGAGAGGGUGGUCAGCCACACUGGGACUGAGACACGGCCCAGACUCCUACGGGAGGCAGCAGUGGGGAAUCUUCGGCAAUGGGCGGAAGCCUGACCGAGCGACGCCGCGUGCGGGAAGAAGCCCUUAGGGGUGUAAACCGCUGUAGCCGGGGAAGAAAGGCACCCGAAGGGGUGUAGAGGACAGUACCCGGAAAGUAAGCGCCGGCUAACUACGUGCCAGCAGCCGCGGUA
This 451-nucleotide ribosomal RNA is filed under the name uncultured bacterium. RNAcentral's name for it is "bacterial SSU rRNA". It matches the Rfam family "Bacterial small subunit ribosomal RNA", at positions 79 to 522 of the family's 1533-position model. The record is from RNAcentral.